RNAcentral lists this small nucleolar RNA (131 nucleotides) under Mus caroli (Ryukyu mouse). RNAcentral describes it as "predicted gene, 24279 (MGP_CAROLIEiJ_G0036494.1)". It matches the Rfam family "Small nucleolar RNA SNORA17". Rfam says of the family: snoRNA ACA 17 belongs to the H/ACA family of snoRNAs and is predicted to guide pseudouridylation of the 28S rRNA at positions U4659 and U4598. It shares the same host gene together with ACA43. Lineage: Eukaryota; Metazoa; Chordata; Mammalia; Rodentia; Muridae. The record is from RNAcentral.
CCUACCUGCAGAGGCAUUGCAGGUGUGGCUGCCGUGUCACAUGUGUGUCAGUAGGUGGCAGACAGGAGAGAGGCUAUGUCUAAGCUCAAUGUUCUGACCUGUAAACAUUGGAGUAAUUAGUAUCCUACAUU